This 391-nucleotide unclassified non-coding RNA is filed under the name soil metagenome. RNAcentral's name for it is "partial contains 5.8S ribosomal RNA, internal transcribed spacer 2, and large subunit ribosomal RNA". The stretch from base 1 to 121 matches the Rfam family "5.8S ribosomal RNA", at positions 35 to 154 of the family's 154-position model. The record is from RNAcentral.
GAUGAAGAACGCAGCGAAGUGCGAUAAGUAGUGUGAAUUGCAGAAUUUCGUGAAUCAUCGAAUCUUUGAACGCAAAUUGCACUCUCCGGUUUUCCGGGAGAGUAUGCCUGUUUGAGGGUCAGCCUAAAUAAAUUCGGCUUCGUUGCUGUUGUUUUCGCGGUAACGUUUUUAGUCGGGAUUUGGGUCAUCUUAAACCGAAAGGUUUUUAAGCGACUUAAAAUUUUUUUACGAUCCCACGAACGUUUCUAAGUACUUCUUACACGUUCAAGGUAUCGAAAACCCCUAUUAGGCGUGGCCGUCGUAUCGGAUCGCGUCCAUAAUAUUUAUUCUUUAACUGACCUCAGACAGGUAAGAAUACCCGCUGAACUUAAGCAUAUCAAUAAGCGGAGGA